RNAcentral lists this small RNA (83 nucleotides) under Marmota monax (woodchuck). The record is from RNAcentral. Lineage: Eukaryota; Metazoa; Chordata; Mammalia; Rodentia; Sciuridae.
GCCAGGCAUGGAGGUGCACACCUGUAAUCCCAGUGACUCAGGAGGCUGAGGCAGGAGGAUUCCAAGUUCAAAGCCAGCCUCAU